Oryzias melastigma (Indian medaka) is the source of this 1668-nucleotide long non-coding RNA. RefSeq lists it as uncharacterized. The transcript is spliced from 3 exons. NCBI's taxonomy places the organism in Eukaryota, Metazoa, Chordata, Actinopteri, Beloniformes, Adrianichthyidae. The record is from RefSeq and is a predicted model, not a curated record.
CAAAAUAGCCUAAAAUUCCCCAGUAAACUUAAUUUGUGAAAAACGUUAGCUUGUUGCUAAAAUAGAAGUUAAACUACAAAAAUCUACUUUCUUAAUCGUUAAGAAAACACUAGGAAGACUUUUACAACAGAUUAGAAAGAUAUGACUUUAAAAGCUGAUUUUGAGCAUCACAACCUUUUAAAUUUUAUUCUUUAUCACCCAACAUUAAAGGAUGAUUACUCUGAGGAUCAACCGGUCAGCCAUGAAAGCAUCAAACAAAUGGAAAGCUUAACAAAUCAUCAACAUUUUACAGACUUUUGCAUUGAUGUAACACUCACUGAAUAAAUCACCGUUACCCCCACAAGUCACAUCCGUAGUUGACUAUCAACUAUUAUUAUGUAGCAUCGCUGUAUCAUUAACAUCCAGCUAAAGUGCAGUCUGCUGCAUUCAAAUUAGAUCCACAAAGUCUUUUCACUAAUUGUUCAUAAUGAAGUAGUUAAGUUCGUGUUUGUUUCAGUUUAUUCUAGUGAUCGGCUGAUAGAAAGAAGAAGAAGCAGUUUCUGUUCUACUUUCAUUUGCAUCUUAAAUCACAUCUGUUUCCAUCCCAGAAGUGGUUGCAUCAUGUGAUCUGGAGGUUGUGAUUACUUGAACGGGUCUGAUCCGGACGGUCGACCGUCGGUGCAGCAGGAACAGCUGGAGAGUUAGAAAUAAAGCGACGGUUCUGUGAAACGGUGUCAGACGGGUGUACGGGAUGUAUUUGGAUGUUUCGAUAUCUGUUCUCAGGAUCAGGGCGUUCUUUCCUGAAGACUGCCGACACCACUAUGGGAUUCUGCUGCACCAGGAACAAUGUUUUAGGACAGCUUUCACCAACCAACGCACUCUCCGGCAGCUUUGAUUGAUGAAUGAGGCGUCACCAUGGCAACCAGUGCGCGCGCGGAUGAUGAUGAGGGGAGCAUCUCUGUCUGGAUUAUUAGGACCACCUCGGGGUAGUGAGGAGGUUCUGGUCGUCCCAGGCUGCUGCCGACGCCCACUCUGCAGGUUAACGAGGUGAUGGAGCAGCUGACGGGAUCCUGUCACAGGUACAGGAUGGAGUUCAGCACAUCAAUGCAGGAGCUGCUCACCGCCGGAGGCUGCAGCUUAUAAUUACUGACACAUUUUGGUGGAAGAAUCACAGAAACUGCAGAGAGACUCUCAACCGAGCAGCUGAAGACAGAAAACUGUGAAGUGAGGUUAGCCAACAGCAGCUGUUUGAAGAGCAGAACCUGCACUUGAAUGAAAGAGACAUGAUUCGCUGUGUGGAACAUUUGAAGUACAGUCGGCUGCAACAGCAAGAAGUCUGUGUGGUUUACAGUGGAACUGCAGCGCCCUCUGCUGGACGAAAGACAAAAUGCAGAUUUUAGGCAAAAAGGUUUAGAUGCUUAAAAUCCACCCAAUCAUUUUCAGAAUGCUCUUUUUGACGCCAUGGGGUUGCUGGAGCCUAUCCCAACGAACAUGGAGCAUGUCUUAAACAGGUCAACAACACAUACACACCUAUAGGGACAAUUUAGAGACUCCAUUCAUCAGGUUUUGGACUGUAGGAUGAAAUGAGAUUUUAAAACUUUAGAAAUAUAACUUAACAUAAUUAUGAUCUAGAUAUUACCGGUGAUAAUGGUAGUGAUGAUAGCUGAAGAUGCUGAAAUUGAUAUAAAA